GCGGACAGAAGGGAGCUUGCUCCCGGAUGUUAGCGGCGGACGGGUGAGUAACACGUGGGUAACCUGCCUGUAAGACUGGGAUAACUCCGGGAAACCGGAGCUAAUACCGGAUAGUUCCUUGAACCGCAUGGUUCAAGGAUGAAAGACGGUUUCGGCUGUCACUUACAGAUGGACCCGCGGCGCAUUAGCUAGUUGGUGAGGUAACGGCUCACCAAGGCGACGAUGCGUAGCCGACCUGAGAGGGUGAUCGGCCACACUGGGACUGAGACACGGCCCAGACUCCUACGGGAGGCAGCAGUAGGGAAUCUUCCGCAAUGGACGAAAGUCUGACGGAGCAACGCCGCGUGAGUGAUGAAGGUUUUCGGAUCGUAAAGCUCUGUUGUUAGGGAAGAACAAGUGCAAGAGUAACUGCUUGCACCUUGACGGUACCUAACCAGAAAGCCACGGCUAACUACGUGCCAGCAGCCGCGGUAAUACGUAGGUGGCAAGCGUUGUCCGGAAUUAUUGGGCGUAAAGGGCUCGCAGGCGGUUUCUUAAGUCUGAUGUGAAAGCCCCCGGCUCAACCGGGGAGGGUCAUUGGAAACUGGGAAACUUGAGUGCAGAAGAGGAGAGUGGAAUUCCACGUGUAGCGGUGAAAUGCGUAGAGAUGUGGAGGAACACCAGUGGCGAAGGCGACUCUCUGGUCUGUAACUGACGCUGAGGAGCGAAAGCGUGGGGAGCGAACAGGAUUAGAUACCCUGGUAGUCCACGCCGUAAACGAUGAGUGCUAAGUGUUAGGGGGUUUCCGCCCCUUAGUGCUGCAGCUAACGCAUUAAG
RNAcentral lists this ribosomal RNA (816 nucleotides) under Bacillus pumilus. RNAcentral describes it as "bacterial SSU rRNA". It matches the Rfam family "Bacterial small subunit ribosomal RNA", at positions 66 to 864 of the family's 1533-position model. The record is from RNAcentral. Lineage: Bacteria; Bacillati; Bacillota; Bacilli; Caryophanales; Bacillaceae.